RNAcentral lists this ribosomal RNA (907 nucleotides) under uncultured organism. Its description in RNAcentral is "bacterial SSU rRNA". It matches the Rfam family "Bacterial small subunit ribosomal RNA", at positions 23 to 898 of the family's 1533-position model. The record is from RNAcentral.
CUCAGAAUGAACGCUGGCGGCGUGCUUAACACAUGCAAGUCGUGCGAGAACGCUUCAGCUUGCUGAAGCUAGUAAAGUGGCGCACGGGUGAGUAACGCGUGGAUAAUCUACCUUCAAAUUUGGAAUAACAUUGCGAAAGCGAUGCUAAUACCGGAUAAUAUUCGAUCCGCCUCGGCGGUUUGAAUCAAAAGUGGUCUCUACAUGUAAGCUACUGUUUGAAGAUGAGUCCGCGUACCAUUAGCUUGUUGGUGGGGUAAAGGCCUACCAAGGCGACGAUGGUUAGCUGGUCUGAGAGGAUGAUCAGCCACACUGGAACUGACACACGGUCCAGACUCCUACGGGAGGCAGCAGUGAGGAAUUUUGCGCAAUGGGGGAAACCCUGACGCAGCAACGCCGCGUGAGUGAUGAAGGCCUUCGGGUCGUAAAGCUCUGUCAAGUGGGAAGAACCCGCCGAUUUCGAAUAGGACUCGGCGCUGACGGUACCACUGAAGGAAGCACCGGCUAACUCCGUGCCAGCAGCCGCGGUAAUACGGGGGGUGCAAGCGUUAUUCGGAUUCAUUGGGCGUAAAGGGCGCGUAGGCGGCUUUUUAAGUCAGAUGUGAAAGCCCGGGGCUUAACCUCGGAAGUGCAUUUGAAACUAAAAAGCUUGAGUAUGGGAGAGGGAAGUGGAAUUCCUGGUGUAGAGGUGAAAUUCGUAGAUAUCAGGAGGAACACCGGUGGCGAAGGCGACUUCCUGGACCAAUACUGACGCUGAGGCGCGAAGGCGUGGGGAGCAAACAGGAUUAGAUACCCUGGUAGUCCACGCAGUAAAACGUUGAACACUAGGUGUAGCGGGUAUUGACCCCCUGCUGUGCCCGAAGCUAACGCAUUACGUGUUCCGCCUGGGGAGUACGGUCGCAAGAUUAAA